This 495-nucleotide ribosomal RNA is filed under the name Triticum aestivum (bread wheat). Its description in RNAcentral is "partial small subunit ribosomal RNA". The record is from RNAcentral. Lineage: Eukaryota; Viridiplantae; Streptophyta; Magnoliopsida; Poales; Poaceae.
AUGUGUGUGAAGUCACUUGUUCGGUUGGAUGCAUACAAGAAGGCCGGUAUGGUGCGCACGCGAAAGCGAAAAGAGGGUUGGAAAUUGAAGAAGUGGGAGGCGUGGGAACAUGACCGUUCUAAGAUAGAGGAGCUGUGGAGAUCAGGCCAUCGGAUUCAGCAAAGGAUGCAUGAAAUGGCACAUGUGAUCGGCGCAGCCAUCAGUCUGAACUUGCCUGCCCCACCAGAUCAGCAGAAUAGUCCCCACCGACGGCUUAAUUGGGUGGAGCAGAGGCGGGUGACGGACAUGCUGGAGUCUCAUGUUGAUAGUUUGGAUGCUCCAUGGAAGGUCUUAGUCCAGGCAGCUGACGCCUUCAGUAGUGAGAGCAAGAAGAUGACCCCAGCGGCAGACCAGGCAAAGCAGAGAAAUGAAGAGGAGAGUGAGGCUGGCCCAUCAAGGCCCAAGCGGAAGAGGAAGCCCAGCUCCAGAUUUGAUUCGUCGACGUGGACAACCUGA